CCAGGCUUCCUCUCCCUGACGUCCCCUAACGUUGGCAGAGUGAAGAAGGGUCGCCCUCACGGCCACGACCUGCCCUGACACUGCCGUCAUCACUCAGAGUCCAGGGCCCCCUGCGCUACUGCUCAUACCCUCCUUACCUGGGGGAGUCAGAUUACCUCAACACUGAAAUCUCCCUUUUGGGUAGCGUUCCUGUCAACUCAAGGGGAACCUCCGCAUGAGUCUGAUCAUGUAAGAAGCAGACGACUGGUCCUUUAAAGGAAGUGUCUCCCUCGAGUUUCACCCACUCUAGCUAUAUGGCUGUUCCAUUCAGACGCUGCAUAUUCUCCCCACCCCCACCCAUCCUGGAAUAAACGGAAGUUCCAGUUCACACAACUCCUUGACUAGUAUAAAUAUUUAUCUGUAUUUUCCAUCUAGAUGCAGAAAGAGGCCCCCUCUCGCAUGCUACUUGAAACAGUGUAUUUUGUUACCCCGCAUCGGGAUUGAGCUGCAGGAAGCAAACAGGAAGAGAGAGAAGAGGAGAAGGAAGGCCUCAGGAGAGGGGCCCAGGACGCCGGAGAAGGGGGCAGGUAGCAGCACGUAAGGGAAAGUUGGAGAAGGCAGGCCGGUCGCAAGGAGGGGUGCAGGCCACACCCUUGGGACACUCACGGUUGAGCUGUCGCCUCCGGAUCCGGUCCCUCCAUGGCCUGCUUCGGAUCCAGUGCAAUCGAGAAGGUAGAACCAUGGUCCCAAGGCGGGACUGAAGACCAGCGCUUGGCUGCCAGGAACGCGGGGCAGGAUGGCUGGAGCCGAAAUCAGGGCAAUGGCCCUCACGUUUUAGGGCACGUGAUUUCUUCACUGCUGGGUCCCUAGCACCUGGCACAGAGCGGGGGAACAAUGCAUAUUUGUUGAGUGAAUGAAUGGUUCAGUGACAACCAACCUAAAAACUUGUUGGUGCCCCCAUGAGUCGUUUAUGCCAGUGAACCUGCUUGAUUCACGGUCCUCAAAUAGGCUUGCUUGAUUCUGCUGGCCCAUGUCUCUCCCCACACUUUUCUCUCCAUCAAGGACCACACUCCUUCUUCACCCACCCACUUUGAAAUCUCAUUUUCCUGUGAUGCAUUCCUGAAGUCACACGAUGGGGCCAGCCCCCACACCCCCUGCGCACCUCACACUCUGGCCAGCGACCAGAUGGCCCUCGUCGGUUAAAGCUCUUGCUUGUUCAUUUGUUUGACUGACCGUGUGUCCGAAUAGCGAGGCUGCUUCUCGGUGACAGGUGCUGUGUAGUCCCUCUCCCCGGGCUGCCGCAGACUGUGUUUUGCCUGAGAAAUUGGUGACAUUAAGGAGUGGCUGGGGCAUUCUGCCUCCCCGGUCUCCACUACCCUGAAUAAAUGUACAGUCUAACUCAAGACUCUAUUGGUUAUAAAAACAGCCUGGACACAGGACCCCAGGUCCCCAAACCGCCUUCUACAGACAUUGCAGAGAGAGAGGAUACGCUCAUGAUGGGUUGUUCUAUCCUACGCAAUGCCCCCCCUGCUCCAGACAGCCAACAGCUCUUGAUCAAAGCCUUAGGGACAGUCUUGCCAUGAGGUCCCAACUGGAAAAAAGUGACAACUCCAAUCCCCGAAUGUAGCCCAAGAGAAUCCAGCAUCUGGCUGAAGGCAGAAAACAUGUCGUGUCUCUACUGUGUAUCCCCCCGGGCCACAGCAGGGGGAUGGGGAGCUGCUGAGAGGUGGGAGUCGGGGGGCAGAUGGGCGUCACUGAUGUCCCUGUGCCUUGCUGGCUUCAGCUCAGAAGGGAGAGAACCUACAGCCCUCCCAGGGUUGGUGCGAUGAAAUGAGAUAAAGUUAAAUAACUCUGGGGGUUGGCAGGUGUUGGAAGGUUCCCCCAGGAGCU
Mustela erminea (ermine) is the source of this 1869-nucleotide long non-coding RNA. RefSeq lists it as uncharacterized. The transcript has 3 exons. The record is from RefSeq and is a predicted model, not a curated record. Lineage: Eukaryota; Metazoa; Chordata; Mammalia; Carnivora; Mustelidae.